Halonotius sp. J07HN4 is the source of this 53-nucleotide non-coding RNA. NCBI's taxonomy places the organism in Archaea, Methanobacteriati, Methanobacteriota, Halobacteria, Halobacteriales, Haloferacaceae. The record is from Rfam.
CUCCAACGAGGAUAGAGGAAGUCGGGGCGACCCGGCUGGCCGCGAAAUUCUCC